Molecule: ribosomal RNA, 254 nt
Filed under: uncultured bacterium
Lineage: Bacteria
Description: partial small subunit ribosomal RNA
Rfam family: Bacterial small subunit ribosomal RNA
Source: RNAcentral
AGGACGAACGCUGGCGGCGUGCUUAACACAUGCAAGUCGAGCGGAAAGGCCCUUCGGGGUACUCGAGCGGCGAACGGGUGAGUAACACGUGAGCAACCUGCCCCUGGCUCUGGGAUAGCCUCCGGAAACGGGGAUUAAUACCGGACAUGACCCUUGACCGCAUGGUUGGGGGUGGAAAGUUUUUCGGCCAGGGUGGGCUCGCGGCCUAUCAGCUUGUUGGGGGGUGACGGCCCGACCAAGGCGACGACGGGUAG